GGUGUCAAAAAGUGGCUUGGGUAUCUACAAAGUAUCUCUCUAAAAUAGUGAAUUGAAGUCGGUUGAUCCAAGCAUUCUAAUACUCCAGGGAACCAUAUCAAUUUAAAACACUUAAAACUAUAAGUGAAUUUUUACUAUCGAAAAUCUAAAACUAAAAGAGAUAAUUUGAUGUUUUACUAUGUGUUGGUGUAACAAGAAUUUAGUUGAUGUUCGAUUGAAUGUCCUCAACUAUGAUUCCUUUACUUCAAAGUGAUUGGGAUUAAUUAAGAAACUUUUUUCAUCAGUUGUGUAUUCUCUAACUUCUACAGUAGAGCGAUAAGUACAAUUAUUUGGGGUUUUUGAGCUACACUCUGAAAUGUGUAAAGUAAAAUUAAAGAUAAGAAGGUGAAAAGAUAAAAAAAAAAAAAAAGUGAAAUCAGUGUGUUUGGUUGAUAUUGGAUUUUUUAAUAACAAUGUAUGUAUUGAGUAUUUAUAGUAAAACUAUUGCUUAUUAGCCAAAUGACGUGACUUACAGUGUUAAAUUUCUGCUCGACUAAUUUUGCGGGUAGUGCAUCAGUUUUCUCCGUUUAGGAGGUUGUAGCGCCCUAUCUUCCACUCUAAAUAUCCUCAUUCACGACAUUUUGUGUGUUAUUAUCAAGUCCCACUUUUUCUUGACUUAGUAUGAGGCCAUUAUAACGAAUGAACUUGAUUAGCAGGCUUGUGAAAUAAUCAAUUUCCCUCGCUCGGGGUGCUCCAAGACCGCCUUACCUUCCAUCGGCUAGGGGUUUCAUCACCUAAAAUCCAAUCACUUAUAUGUCGAGGUUGGUUAACAUGAUAAUUAUUCUUAGGUGUGUACAAAUGCCUCAUACAUUGUAUUAUCAGAUUCCCUUUGAGAGACGAGAAGAUGCAAUGCAAAUAUCAAAGUUGAGCGUGAACAUUGUCAUUAUUACAUUGUAAGGUAUAAACGAACUGUCAAGUAACCUUGCCACAACAUGCAAUUGUCAUCGUUGUUUUUAUUUCAAUAUAGACGAUUUCUUUUCCCGGUUAAAUCUUUCAUUUUUCUUUAUCUACCUCGGAGAAAACUUCAUGCUUGAUAUUCAAGCACUUUAUUAAUAAAUCAACAUUUGACAUCCUUACUUCCUCUGAUCAAACAUGAGCCUCGCUCCUCCUUCAAAUUUUAAUAUUUUAGACUUCGUAGUAAAUACAUCAAGCCUCAAGUUACUUAAAAAUUCUUUCUAUUGGACAUCAUUUUCUCAAUCAUAACACUUCAAUGUGGAUAAGAGGCGAGACUUUACAUUCCUAUUCAUGUCGAGUUAAAUCAUCAUCCAUUUCAUUCUUUCUUUCACACUUUGACUUUCUCGACCAACAAUAAGUCUUUCAGGGAAAACAGGCUAAUCCUCGGUAUCUGUCUCACUGCUCCUUUGCCUCAUCCAAACCCUAGUGAAGAUGUAUUAUCAUUAUGAGGUUUUCUCUUCAUGUAGAUCUUCAAAGAAGGAUCCACAUACAAUUUUAUUUCUUUUUCUCGUAAAAUUAACUAGAUAGCUGACCUUGUGGUUAUCCAUUUUAAUUUGAACAUAAUGGAACUUUUUGUUUUGAUGCACAAUGUUUUGUUUUCAGCUUAUGCUCAUUUUGCAUUCGCUAGUUGGUAUGUUCUUUUAUCAUGAAACAUGUAACACAGGUGAGCCAAUGUAGAUAGAAAAGUUUAUAUAGU
This 1690-nucleotide long non-coding RNA is filed under the name Medicago truncatula (barrel medic). RNAcentral describes it as "long non-coding RNA (MTRU_LNC008126)". The record is from RNAcentral. Lineage: Eukaryota; Viridiplantae; Streptophyta; Magnoliopsida; Fabales; Fabaceae.